Molecule: ribosomal RNA, 878 nt
Filed under: uncultured bacterium
Lineage: Bacteria
Description: bacterial SSU rRNA
Rfam family: Bacterial small subunit ribosomal RNA
Source: RNAcentral
AGAGUUUGAUCAUGGCUCAGAACGAACGCUGGCGGCAGGCCUAACACAUGCAAGUCGAGCGCUUCACUUCGGUGAGGAGCGGCGGACGGGUUAGUAACGCGUGGGAAUAUACCCAGUUCUAAGGGAUAGCGACUGGAAACGGUGAGUAAUACCUUAUACGCCCUUCGGGGGAAAGAUUUAUCGGAAUUGGAUUAGCCCGCGUUAGAUUAGAUAGUUGGUGAGGUAACGGCUCACCAAGUCUACGAUCUAUAGCUGGUUUGAGAGGAUGAUCAGCAACACUGGGACUGAGACACGGCCCAGACUCCUACGGGAGGCAGCAGUGGGGAAUCUUGGACAAUGGGCGCAAGCCUGAUCCAGCCAUGCCGCGUGAGUGAUGAAGGCCUUAGGGUCGUAAAACUCUUUCGCCAGGGAUGAUAAUGACAGUACCUGGUAAAGAAACCCCGGCUAACUCCGUGCCAGCAGCCGCGGUAAUACGGAGGGGGUUAGCGUUGUUCGGAAUUACUGGGCGUAAAGCGUACGUAGGCGGAUUAGAAAGUUAGGGGUGAAAUCCCAGGGCUCAACCCUGGAACUGCCUUUAAAACUCCUAGUCUAGAGGUCGAGAGAGGUGAGUGGAAUUCCAAGUGUAGAGGUGAAAUUCGUAGAUAUUUGGAGGAACACCAGCGGCGAAGGCGGCUCACUGGCUCGAUACUGACGCUGAGGUACGAAAGUGUGGGGAGCAAACAGGAUUAGAUACCCUGGUAGUCCACACCGUAAACGAUGAAUGCCAGACGUCAGCAAGCAUGCUUGUUGGUGUCACACCUAACGGAUUAAGCAUUCCGCCUGGGGAGUACGGUCGCAAGAUUAAAACUCAAAGAAAUUGACGGGGGCCCGCACAAGCG